Molecule: ribosomal RNA, 119 nt
Filed under: Gossypium raimondii (Peruvian cotton)
Lineage: Eukaryota; Viridiplantae; Streptophyta; Magnoliopsida; Malvales; Malvaceae
Source: RNAcentral
GGGUGCGAUCAUACCAGCACUAACGCACCGGAUCCCAUCAGAACUCCGCAGUGAAGCGUGCUUGGGCGAGAGUAGUACUAGGAUGGGUGACCUCCUGUGAAGUCCUCGUGUUGCACCCC